This 139-nucleotide ribosomal RNA is filed under the name Canavalia rosea. RNAcentral describes it as "partial 18S rRNA ribosomal". It matches the Rfam family "Eukaryotic small subunit ribosomal RNA", at positions 1697 to 1831 of the family's 1831-position model. RNAcentral also lists the same sequence under 1 other name. The record is from RNAcentral. Lineage: Eukaryota; Viridiplantae; Streptophyta; Magnoliopsida; Fabales; Fabaceae.
UCCGGUGAAGUGUUCGGAUUGCGGCGACGUGGGCGGUUCGCUGCCCGCGACGUUGUGAGAAGUCCACUGAACCUUAUCAUUUAGAGGAAGGAGAAGUCGUAACAAGGUUUCCGUAGGUGAACCUGCGGAAGGAUCAUUG